UACGUAGGGUGCGAGCGUUGUCCGGAAUUAUUGGGCGUAAAGAGCUCGUAGGCGGCUUGUCACGUCGGGUGUGAAAGCCCGGGGCUUAACCCCGGGUCUGCAUUCGAUACGGGCUAGCUAGAGUGUGGUAGGGGAGAUCGGAAUUCCUGGUGUAGCGGUGGAAUGCGCAGAUAUCAGGAGGAACACCGAUGGCGAAGGCAGAUCUCUGGGCCGUAACUGACGCUGAGGAGCGAAAGCAUGGGGAGCGAACAGG
This 253-nucleotide ribosomal RNA is filed under the name uncultured bacterium. RNAcentral describes it as "partial 16S ribosomal RNA". It matches the Rfam family "Bacterial small subunit ribosomal RNA", at positions 524 to 776 of the family's 1533-position model. The record is from RNAcentral.